UACGGGGGGUGCGAGCGUUGUUCGGAAUCAUUGGGCGUAAAGAGCGUGUAGGCGGCUAGGCAAGUCAGAUGUGAAAUCCCUGGGCUUAACCCAGGAAGUGCAUUUGAAACUGCUUAGCUUGAGUAAGGAAGAGGGAAGUGGAAUUCCUGGUGUAGAGGUGAAAUUCGUAGAUAUCAGGAGGAACACCGGUGGCGAAGGCGACUUCCUGGUCCUAUACUGACGCUGAGACGCGAGAGCGUGGGGAGCAAACAGGAUUAGAUACCCUGGUAGUCCACGCCGUAAACGAUGUUCACUAGGUGUUGAGGGUAUUGACCCCUUCAGUGCCGAAGCUAACGCAUUAAGUGAACCGCCUGGGGAGUACGGUCGCAAGAUUAAA
Molecule: ribosomal RNA, 376 nt
Filed under: uncultured archaeon
Lineage: Archaea
Also listed under: 1 other name
Description: bacterial SSU rRNA
Rfam family: Bacterial small subunit ribosomal RNA
Source: RNAcentral